UUUUUUUUUUUUUUUUUUUGAGACAGAGUUAGUCUCUCCACAUAGUCCUGGGUGCUCUGGAACUCACUAUGUAGGUCAAACUGGCCUCAAACACAGAGUUCCUCCUGCCUCAACUUUCCAAGUGCUGGGAUUAAAGGCGUGCACCACCAACACCUGACUAAGGUGUGACUUUUGUUUGGUUGGUUGGUUGGUUGGUUGGUUUGGGGGUUUUUUGUUUGUUUUUUGGUUUUUGUGGGUUUUUUGUUGUUGUUUUGUUUUGUUUUUUUGUUUUUGAUACUUUUUAAAUAUCCUUUGCUGGUAUUUGAUUGAAAAAAUAUCAUUGGAGCUAGAGAGAUGGCUCAGAGGUUAAGAGCACUGACUGCUCUUCCAGAGGUCCUGAAUUCUAUUCCCAGCAACCACAUGGUGGCUCACAACCAUCUGUAAUGGGAUCCGAUGCCCUCUUAUGGUGUGUCUGAAGACAGUGAAAGUGUACUCACAUUCAUGAAAUAAAUAAAUCUUAAACAAACAAACAAAAAAACCCACGAAAAAUAUCAUGGACAUUACCACUUCCGAUUUAAAGAAAGCUGGUUCAUUUUCAAAUAUUAGUACAGAAAAUAAAAUUCAUGAUAAAGGCAUGGCAGGACAAAGAGUGAACAGGGAAGAACAUAUUAGCAUAUUUAUAGAAAUUGGGUCUAUAUGUUGUUCAAUUUUGCUUCGGUUUUCAAAUAGUAUGUGGAGCUUAUAAGAUGCACUGAGACCAGAUGCUAGGCUCAGUCUCUGAGAUCGGCCCUAUUUGCAUUCACAUGAAAUCUAAGGAGGGUUAGAGAGGAGGAAGAAGGACUCCAUGGGGGAGGGGGGUGUCAAGGGUUAGGAAAGGGGGGGAUGGCCUCAGGGUAGGUAAGAAUACAGCUUUCCUCCACCUUGCUGGGAAUCCCAGCAGGGAUACCUAAGGGAAGCUCUUGACAUCCAACUUGUGGCUCCCCACCCCGCUUUGUCCUUAGGAUAUAGCCCAGGCUAGCCUCAAACUCAAGAUCUUAGGAAGUGCUGUGUCUCAAGGGUGUUUGCUGAGGACUUUGGACGCCUUGGUGUGAGUUCAACAGUUGGGAUGCAGCAGGUGAGGGCAGGCAGGAGGUCAGAGGCCAGAAGGUGACCCAUAUGUUCCCUAUACCCUGCCCCUUGUCCCUUCAGCCUCCCUCCCUCCACUUACUGCCAGCCUCUUUCCCUUCUGCAGCCAAUACCUGGGGCUAGCCCAUUCCUCAGCCUUCAGACUCAGGGUGCCAAGAGCCUCCCUCAGGCAAGUAGCUACCACUUUUGUGCCUCUUUUUAGCACCAUGUAUAUUUCUUGGGUAUGUAAGCAAAGAGCCAGUAGGUAAAUGGACAAAAGGCAUCCGAUGCUACCUCCUAUGUCACUCAGGUGACUGACACAUUGCCCAGUCAUGAGCAUCCCUGCCACUACUAGAUCCACAUCUCCAUUCGGAGGAGUCUUUUUGGCCUGUCCAGCAUUGCCUGCUCUGCUGAAAGACAGCCCUGUCAAUUUCUACCCACUUUUAUACUCAGGAUCUCCAAUAGCUCAGGAUGGCUUCAAACUCACUAUGAGCUGAAACAGAACUCAAAGUCUUGAUCCUCUGCCUCUCUACCUUCCAAGUGCAAGUAUAUGUCACAAUACCUGGUCCACCUCUGAGUCAGACACUCAACUCUAUCCUUGACUGACUGUCCCAGCAUUGGAAGAGAAGAGAUUUUUUUUUCUUCUGAACCAAGAGAUGCUAAUCUGUGUGACUAGUCACUUGUCCAUAAGUGACUCAGAAAGGCAGACACCUAAGGAUACUUGCCAAAGUUGGAGCAAACAAGGAGAGGCGGGGCAUGGAGACGGGAGCACCUCAUCACUCCACAUAGCCAUCUCUCAACAGUCAAGAAGGGUAUAGCCAUCUACGGAGGCAAGGAUGUCGUGACACGGUGGUUCCUGAUAUGCUGGGUUGUGUCUCAUAUGGCUCCAUGGGUCUCAUGGAUACAUGAGAGAGAAAAAAAAAAGCUUAUUCCAAGGUCUCAAGCCCUUUGCCAGGCCAGCCGGUAUCACCUGACUGUAUCCAGAUCAGAAACGUGUCUUUAGAGACUCUCUUGCUUGCCUUAAUGGGAAGGUAAGUGUGUUGUCUACCGAUCCUCAGCCUAGAAAGAACUACUCGGGCCAAAGAAGACUCAGAGAUAUCAGGGGUCCCAUCUCCUUCUCUGAGCCAGCCUCAGAACCAGAGGUUAGGAAAGAAGAAAUUGGGGUGGAGGCUUUCUUCCUGUGAGAGGAGGGGGGAUGUCAGGCCAGGACACGCAGCAGAGGGGCUCGGGAAAGUCUGGUUCUUUCCGCAGGGGGAGGAACAUAAGGACUCCAAAGUAAGGUGGGCAUGGUGGUCCAUGCCUUUAAUCCCAGCAAUUAAAAGGCAGAGGUAGGUAGGUAGGUAGAGACCAGCCUGGUCUAUACAGUGAGUUCCAGACAGGCAGGGAUACAGAGAAACCCUGCCCCCCCCUUCCAAAAAAAAAAAAAAAAGCAAUCAAGCACACAAACAAAAGAACUCCAAAGUAAAAGCAGAGGCCACCAGAGUUGUGGAGGAAGAUGGAGAGAGACAUGGGGCUUCCACGGGCCAAAGUCCAGACAGGUCUCAAAUCUGUCACAUCUGUGCCAUGCUGUGGGAACUGCUGGUAUACCUAGAACUGCCAAGGCAGUGUUCCACUCACCCUGUCAAGCCCCAGAGUACCCCCACCUUCCCCUGGCACAGCAGGGGCUGAGGGUGGGAGCUGGGGUGGGGCUGUGGACCUGGGCGAAUCUCAGACUUCGAAUAAAGGGGACUUAGCUUCCUCUCCUCACUCCUUGAGAGGCUCACUAUACAGCCCAGGCUGGUCUUGAACUCUCAAUCUCCUGCCUCAGCAUCUCAAGUGCUGGGACUGCAGGUACCACCACACCCUGCUUUUUAUACCUCUUUGUACUUGAACUCAGAUGGGGACAAUCACAUAUAACCCAAGGGAGACAGACACCUGGGACAUGUCUAACCUGUGCCACAUAAGUGGGAGAAGGGACUUGAGGAGCAGGCUAGACGCUGGGAGAAAACCUGAGUCAUUUCUCACAGCCCAGCUGCUCCAGACUGAUGGCCAAACUGUUCCUUGGAUCACCUGACUAGUUAAAAUCUGAACUCAGCUCUCAAGAGUGACCUCUUUGGCUACGGAAGGUUUUGUAUAUGCCAACAUUGUAAGAUCAAUGGCUUUGAUGAACCAGUCUGGUUUCCCCAUGAAAGGCAACUGAUGUGGCUACCCAGGUCUCCCUCCACGCCAGCAAUGGCCAUCUGCAGCAGAUGGUCAGGAUCUCCGGGUUAUUCUUGACGGGCCUCUGCCCGGCACCACCCGAGGAGGUACCAGUGGGCCAUUUCUCUUGUUCUCCUGAGAAAGUGUCCUCAGAUGCCUUCUUUGUCACAUUUCCCUCUUGGCCAUUUCCUGAUCAUCCCCAAGACUCCUGAAUCAGCAACACUAGUAACAGAAGUGGGAGGAAAAAAAAACAAAAAAACAAAGACAAACCCAAACAAAACUGAGACGGGCAACUCUCCAAACUGUGCUGCUUUGCCAUGGCAUUAGAUAACAGCUCAUUUUUAUUUCUCUUCUCGACAAUCGCCUACAGUUUCCAGACUCUCUAUAAAGAGCUUUAAUAUCAAAAGACAAAUGAACUGGUAUUUAAAAAGAACAUUCUCCCCAACCUGAAGGCUGAGGUCAAGAUGAAAUGCUGCCUUUUGCAGGAAGUCCUCCUGGAUUUCCAGCCCCCUGCCUGACACUCCAGGACUUGGUGAGAGCUUUUGCGGG
This is a long non-coding RNA of Mus musculus (house mouse), 3810 nucleotides long. RefSeq annotates it as predicted gene, 51544. Lineage: Eukaryota; Metazoa; Chordata; Mammalia; Rodentia; Muridae. The transcript is spliced from 3 exons. The record is from RefSeq and is a predicted model, not a curated record.